AUUGAUGGCUCAAUGGUAGAGCAUCUGUUUUGCAUGCAGAAGGUCCAAGGUUGAAUCUUCUGUUAAAAGUA
This 71-nucleotide transfer RNA is filed under the name Sphaerodactylus townsendi. RNAcentral describes it as "tRNA-Ala". It matches the Rfam family "tRNA". From Rfam's summary of the family: Transfer RNA (tRNA) molecules are approximately 80 nucleotides in length. Their secondary structure includes four short double-helical elements and three loops (D, anti-codon, and T loops). Lineage: Eukaryota; Metazoa; Chordata; Lepidosauria; Squamata; Sphaerodactylidae. The record is from RNAcentral.